UUCACUUCUCCGCCUUUUGGCUAAGAUCAAGUGUAGCAUCUGUUCUCAUCAGUUUAACAUCUGAUACAUCCCCUACCUGGGGACCAAAUAUUAAAUUGGGAUUUUUGGGACAAGGAGAUGGAACAGGGGCCUGCCCAUUUCACUCCACGCAUCAACCUGGUAUUGCAGUGUCUCCAGGAAUUGUGCCUUUCAC
Molecule: small nuclear RNA, 193 nt
Organism: Carcharodon carcharias (great white shark)
Lineage: Eukaryota; Metazoa; Chordata; Chondrichthyes; Lamniformes; Lamnidae
Product: U2 spliceosomal RNA
Exons: 1
Source: RefSeq, a predicted model, not a curated record